Molecule: ribosomal RNA, 253 nt
Filed under: uncultured bacterium
Lineage: Bacteria
Description: partial 16S ribosomal RNA
Rfam family: Bacterial small subunit ribosomal RNA
Source: RNAcentral
UACGAAGGGUGCAAGCGUUACUCGGAAUUACUGGGCGUAAAGCGUGCGUAGGUGGUUUGUUAAGUCGGAUGUGAAAUCCCCGGGCUCAACCUGGGAAUUGCAUUCGAUACUGGAUAGCUAGAGUUCGGCAGAGGGAAGUGGAAUUUCGGGUGUAGCGGUGAAAUGCGUAGAUAUCCGAAGGAACAUCAGUGGCGAAAGCGACUUCCUGGACCAGAACUGACGAUCAGGCACGAAAGCGUGGGAAGCAAACAGG